CAAUAGCGUAUAUUAAUGUUGUUGCAGUUAAAAAGCUCGUAGUUGGAUUUCUGGUGGGAGCGGCCGGUCCGCCGUAAGGUGUGUACUUGGUUGUCUCCUGUCAUCCUUGUGGGAACUGCUCUGGCAUUAAGUUGUCGGGGUUAGGGAACACAUCGUUUACUGUGAAAAAAUUAGAGUGUUUAAAGCAGGCUUAUGCCGUUGAAUACAUUAGCAUGGAAUAAUAAGAUAGGACUUUGGCGUCUAUUUUGUUGGUUUGCACACCAAGGUAAUGAUUAAUAGGGAUAGUUGGGGGUAUUCGUAUUUAAUUGUCAGAGGUGAAAUUCUUGGAUUUAUGAAAGACGAACUUCUGCGAAAGCAUUUACCAAAGAUGUUUUCAUUA
RNAcentral lists this ribosomal RNA (379 nucleotides) under uncultured eukaryote. Its description in RNAcentral is "partial 18S ribosomal RNA". It matches the Rfam family "Eukaryotic small subunit ribosomal RNA", at positions 592 to 975 of the family's 1831-position model. The record is from RNAcentral.